GUUGCGGUGGCCGAGUGGUUAAGGCAUUGGACUUGAAAUCCAAUGGGAUCUUCCCGCGCAGGUUCGAACCCAGCCCGCAACG
Molecule: transfer RNA, 82 nt
Filed under: Nematostella vectensis (starlet sea anemone)
Lineage: Eukaryota; Metazoa; Cnidaria; Anthozoa; Actiniaria; Edwardsiidae
Rfam family: tRNA
About the family: Transfer RNA (tRNA) molecules are approximately 80 nucleotides in length. Their secondary structure includes four short double-helical elements and three loops (D, anti-codon, and T loops). Further hydrogen bonds mediate the characteristic L-shaped molecular structure. tRNAs have two regions of fundamental functional importance: the anti-codon, which is responsible for specific mRNA codon recognition, and the 3' end, to which the tRNAs corresponding amino acid is attached (by aminoacyl-tRNA synthetases). tRNAs cope with the degeneracy of the genetic code in two manners: having more than one tRNA (with a specific anti-codon) for a particular amino acid; and 'wobble' base-pairing, i.e. permitting non-standard base-pairing at the 3rd anti-codon position.
Source: Rfam by way of RNAcentral